UUUGGCUCAGGACGAACGCUGGCGGCGUGCCUAAUACAUGCAAGUCGAACGAACUCUGGUAUUGAUUGGUGCUUGCAUCAUGAUUUACAUUUGAGUGAGUGGCGAACUGGUGAGUAACACGUGGGAAACCUGCCCAGAAGCGGGGGAUAACACCUGGAAACAGAUGCUAAUACCGCAUAACAACUUGGACCGCAUGGUCCGAGCUUGAAAGAUGGCUUCGGCUAUCACUUUUGGAUGGUCCCGCGGCGUAUUAGCUAGAUGGUGGGGUAACGGCUCACCAUGGCAAUGAUACGUAGCCGACCUGAGAGGGUAAUCGGCCACAUUGGGACUGAGACACGGCCCAAACUCCUACGGGAGGCAGCAGUAGGGAAUCUUCCACAAUGGACGAAAGUCUGAUGGAGCAACGCCGCGUGAGUGAAGAAGGGUUUCGGCUCGUAAAACUCUGUUGUUAAAGAAGAACAUAUCUGAGAGUAACUGUUCAGGUAUUGACGGUAUUUAACCAGAAAGCCACGGCUAACUACGUGCCAGCAGCCGCGGUAAUACGUAGGUGGCAAGCGUUGUCCGGAUUUAUUGGGCGUAAAGCGAGCGCAGGCGGUUUUUUAAGUCUGAUGUGAAAGCCUUCGGCUCAACCGAAGAAGUGCAUCGGAAACUGGGAAACUUGAGUGCAGAAGAGGACAGUGGAACUCCAUGUGUAGCGGUGAAAUGCGUAGAUAUAUGGAAGAACACCAGUGGCGAAGGCGGCUGUCUGGUCUGUAACUGACGCUGAGGCUCGAAAGUAUGGGUAGCAAACAGGAUUAGAUACCCUGGUAGUCCAUACCGUAAACGAUGAAUGCUAAGUGUUGGAGGGUUUCCGCCCUUCAGUGCUGCAGCUAACGCAUUAAGCAUUCCGCCUGGGGAGUACGGCCGCAAGGCUGAAACUCAAAGGAAUUGACGGGGGCCCGCACAAGCGGUGGAGCAUGUGGUUUAAUUCGAAGCUACGCGAAGAACCUUACCAGGUCUUGACAUACUAUGCAAAUCUAAGAGAUUAGACGUUCCCUUCGGGGACAUGGAUACAGGUGGUGCAUGGUUGUCGUCAGCUCGUGUCGUGAGAUGUUGGGUUAAGUCCCGCAACGAGCGCAACCCUUAUUAUCAGUUGCCAGCAUUAAGUUGGGCACUCUGGUGAGACUGCCGGUGACAAACCGGAGGAAGGUGGGGAUGACGUCAAAUCAUCAUGCCCCUUAUGACCUGGGCUACACACGUGCUACAAUGGAUGGUACAACGAGUUGCGAACUCGCGAGAGUAAGCUAAUCUCUUAAAGCCAUUCUCAGUUCGGAUUGUAGGCUGCAACUCGCCUACAUGAAGUCGGAAUCGCUAGUAAUCGCGGAUCAGCAUGCCGCGGUGAAUACGUUCCCGGGCCUUGUACACACCGCCCGUCACACCAUGAGAGUUUGUAACACCCAAAGUCGGUGGGGUAACCUUUUAGGAACCAGCCGCCUAAGGUGACAG
Molecule: ribosomal RNA, 1485 nt
Filed under: Lactiplantibacillus pentosus
Lineage: Bacteria; Bacillati; Bacillota; Bacilli; Lactobacillales; Lactobacillaceae
Description: Lactobacillus pentosus partial 16S ribosomal RNA
Rfam family: Bacterial small subunit ribosomal RNA
Source: RNAcentral